Ornithodoros turicata is the source of this 13967-nucleotide long non-coding RNA. RefSeq lists it as uncharacterized. Lineage: Eukaryota; Metazoa; Arthropoda; Arachnida; Ixodida; Argasidae. The record is from RefSeq and is a predicted model, not a curated record. The transcript is spliced from 4 exons.
GCGAGGCAAGCUGUGUAAUUGCGUUGACUGGCGCCCCCGUUAUGAAGUCCUGGAGAGUGGUCCCCUUGGACAUAACUCUGCAUUACUCUAGGGGCCUCAACCUCAACAGUGGGCGCAAAGCUAACUUUGACGGGGAACUGAAGAGACACAUUGGUAAUGCCGUCGGGAACAUCUUGAACGGUCCGUUUCGAGAAGACCUCAACAGUUCUGUUCCUCUCUCGAUGCUUUACGUUCUACAUAUGAAAGAUCAGGAUUAGGCACAUUAAAUGAUCCUGAUGUAUUAAGUACAAAAUCUGCGAGUUGGUAUUAGUCUAACGUUAUCAGGUAGCAUUGAAAGACACGAACGAGAGGAAGGAAAGACGUACAGGACUUGGGUGUGUCCUGUGUGUCACCCGAUUAGAGUGGUUUAUUCCAAUACACGUAUAUCACACAGCAUACUUCUGUACGCGAAGUCUAGCACUUUGUCCCGUCUUUCCUUUCUUCCGUCAGUGUCUUUCAGUACUCACAACAACAACAAAAUAAAUCGCGAGAGAUUGGGUGAUUCCCCGGUUGAGAGGAGUACACUGCCCUAUUACACGCAAAUGAAGAGUGAAGUUAAAUGAGCUAUGUACAAGUCGUUUGAGCUGUCCUCUACUGGUAUGUGCUAACACCGAACACAAGGAAGAAUAGGAAGAAAGAAGUACCGAUGGGCAUUCGGAUACAGAGUACCAUACGAUCAUAAUCAGCGUCUGGAACAAACUGGUAGACAUCUAAAACUCCGUGAACAUUAGAAGACCUCGACGGUGCAGUACAAAGUUCUGGCAUGGACCAAUAAUGGCAGCCGGGUUUAAUGUCUGCCUUGCUAGCAGCAUUCAACUGAGCACAGAGUAGCCGCCUCUCCAUUUCGUAGCGCUCACAUUCUAUAAGGACACGCUCAACGUUCGUCACGACACCGCAUUUGGAGCAUAGGCUAUUGUCACAGGAUCCGAUCCGGUAUUUGAAUUAUGCAGUGAAAGCUACAUUGAGACGAAGUCUGUGCAUGAGGGACGUAAAAGUUGCGUGGUAAACAGGACAAAUUUGAGUCCACUGAAUGCUUGACAGACCUGUCAGUGAUGUCCGGACUCCAUUGCUGCCGAACUAGUGUCUGGAUUAUCCUUUCAGUGCUGGAUUAUCAUGGUCCUUGUGGUAUUCUUGCCGGCGCUUGAUGUCAGUGUCGUUGCGAACGCACCGACAGCCACCAGGGAUUGGAACAGUUAUUUUGGGGGCUCGAUUCGAGAACGGUUUCAAGCAUAUCGGUUAGGUUCAGAUUCGGGUCUAGAGCAGAAAUUAUAGAGGUUAGAACCAAUUUAAACCGGGUCAAACAUGUCCACCAAAACAAAAUUUUUAAACAUGGCUUAGGUCAUGUUAUGUACAGGCGUCGCCACGCUUAACCGUAGCGCAGGGUCGCGUGGCCUGCUUGCAUGCCAGCGCCGCCUUGCGUCGAUGCUGGGGUGGAGACUCUACACUGUCAGCCAAAAUGGUGCUAAAAAGGGAUAAACGGGGUGCAAAGGAGGGUCUUGUCACGUCGUUUAGACCAUAAGGGCUAUAUGUAUACCUUCCAAAUGGUAUAAAUAAGUGUCAUGUUGCAACGAUAUACCUUGCGCGCUGUCAGUAGGUAUAAAAGCAGUAUUAUGUUCCACGUUUAUACCUUCAGGGUUAUUUUUUUAUACCUCUGCAUUCCGCGAGACCUCGUUGGCAACCUGCUCCGCCAGGGAAGGUAUACUGCAUUAUAAUGGUAUAACUUGUUUGUGAUUGCCUAGGAUGGCCGCUUGCGCUGUUUUGCUGUAGCUUUGCGUCGAUAAAACACAAGAAUACUGUGAUUCAGUGAUGUGCUUCAGUGAUGCCAUGUGGCGGAUGCAAGUUAUAAGUGGAAUAUAUCAUGCGUCUUCGUGCAUUAGCGGCUAUAUUCACAAAUUGGAGUUGGUUUGUCAUCUGCGCCGUUUUCAUACAAAAUGCGGCAGUGUUGUCGUAGAAGUGUUGUUGUGAACUACGAUGUCCAAACACUAUGAGUUGUUGUUAGAAUUUUCCUACACAAAACGAUAUAUUUAUUUCCAGUGCACUAUAAAAUGUAUGUCCUUUUAGCGAAUGAAAUUCACAUUUUAGCGGCCGUUAUGCUUAGCAGGGUGGACGUGUCGGAACAACAACAACAACUAAAUCAUGACUAUGGCCUGGGGUGAUUCACCGCUUGAGAGCAGUACCCUACCCCAUUACACGAGAAGCAUGAGAUGUGAAAUAUGAAAAUGAAGUUAUGUGCAAGUACAACUCGAACUCCCGUCGUCUGGUUGCGCAACGCUAUACGUCGCACAAAAGGAAGAUGCACAUGAAAGAAGCCAAUGGUCCUUGAGAUGCAGGGGUGGACCCUACAGCGUCUGGAGCAAGCCGGUAGCCAAGAGGAACUCCAAGAACAUCAGAAGUCCUCGACGGUGUUGGACAUAGCUCUGACAUGGGCCAAGAAUUGCAGCCAGGUUGAACGUCUGUCGGCUAGCACCACUCAGCUGAGCACAGAGUUGCCGCCUCUCCGUUUCGUAGAGCUUACAUUCUAUUAGGACGUGCUCAAUGUUCGCUUCAACGCCACAUUUGGAGCAUAGGCAGCUGUCACAGUAUCCGAUUCGGCACUUGAAUUGGGGAGUGAAGGCAACGUUGAGACGAAGCCUGUGCAGAAGGGACGUAAAAUAGCGUGGUAAACGGUCAGGAACUGAGAAGGACAUAGUGGGAUCCACCGAAUACAUGAGAGACCUGUCAGUGAUGUCCCGACUCCACUGCUGGCGAGCUAGUGGCUGAAUGAGCUCAUUCACAAGUGAUCUCCUGUCUCCUCUUGAUAACACCGUUGGUACAACAGUCCGAGACUGUUGGGCAGCCGUUGCCGCUCUGUCGGCUUCUUCGUUUCCGCUCAAACCACAGUGACCCGGGACCCACUGCAGGGAUAUAUGAUGACCAUGAUUGCGUAGAAGCUGAACCUGAUGGAGGAUAUCAGUGACAACUGGGGCGAGCGAUCCACGUAUUCCCAUGUUGGCUAUACAUUGAAGAGCAGCCUUUGAAUCUGAGUAGAUGACCCAGGCCCGCGGAUCGUCACAGGGCGUCUUACGUAGAAACAACAGGAUAGCAUAUAACUCAGCCGACGUUGAUGAUGUGCGGUGUGAGAGACGGUAUCCAUGUGACACACCGUCAGUUGGAAUAACAAAUGCAGACGAUGAACAUUCAUGACUGGAGGAUCCGUCAGUGAAAACUGCAGUGUGAUCAGAAUAGCGAUUGUGCAUCAUAUCCGCUGCAAGCUGUUUCAGAACUGAUGUAGGCACUUGGUUUCGUUUGACAUUAAGACCAGGAACUGACAAUGCGAUCGAUGGUACUGGAAGCGACCACGGAGGCGUCGUAGGCACCACUGAUCUUGCAGAAAACGGGGGAACCUUAGGUUUCACUUCCAUGAAACAGUUGUAUGCGUUACAUUGCUUCCGGCGACAAACUUUUGCUAUUAGUGGAUGGCGGCGGUGGUGUGCUCUGAGGCGCAAGUAAUGGCGAAUGGUCUCCCUCUGCCGUAAGACUUCAAUGGGUAUUUCGCGGGCUUCUGCUAUCACCAUCCGCGUUUCCGCGGCUCUCGGGACGCCAAGACAUACCCUUAAGCUCCGUGCUAAAAUACACCGCAGUCGUUGUUCUUGCGUCUGUGAAAUUCCGUGCAAGACUGGUAGGCUAUAUAGCAGAGUCCCUCGGACUAGGGCUUUGUGGAUGGCCAGAAGAGACUUCUCAUUCAUUCCCCACUUCGGCCCAGCAAAGUGGCGAAUGACGGAAAUCCACCGGUGUGCCUUUGUGUCCAGGUGAUCGAUGUGUUUCUUCCAGGACAAGUUGGAGUCUAGGAUGACACCCAGGAAUCUAUGGUGUGCUACCAGCCUAAGAGGCGUAUCGCCAAGGAAGAGCUGAUACCGAUGCAUAUGCUUCCGAGUAAAAGCCAUGACUGCUGUUUUCUCAGUUGAUAUAUCCAUGCCUGCCUCCGUUAGGUACCGCAAGAUGUUAUCCAGGGAAUGCUGGAGACGGCGUAGGAUUGCAGGCCUCGAUUUCCCAACAGUCCAAAUGCAGACGUCAUCAGCAUAGAUAGAUAUAUUGACUUUAGGGGCGAUACAGGACUUUAGGCCUGCCAUUACAAGGUUGAAAAGGAUAGGACUUAAAACGCUGCCUUGUGGUACGCCCUGAGUCAAGACAACUUUCGAAGUGACUCCUUCUUUUGUGCGAACAGAGAGUGUUCUAUGGCGCAAAAAAUCAGCCAGCCACAAGAGCAUUCUGUCGGGAACGCCUGCUUGCAACAAAAGAUGCAGAACGUUGGCAUGACUGACGGUGUCGUAGGCUCUCUUGACGUCCAGGAACACUGCCAUGACUAUUUUCUUCUGGCUCCUCGCUUCCUCGACGGUGGUGACGAGAUCGAGAACAGAGUCUAUGGAGCUACGAUUCCGACGGAAGCCUGCCAUCUCUUCGGGGAAGGUACGAUGACCCUCAAGCCACCACUCCAGUCUAUGCAAGACCAUUCGCUUCAAGACUUUACCAAGACAGCUCGUCAGGCUAACUGGACGAAAGGAUGACAGGUCAGAUGGGUGCUUUCCAGGCUUUAACAGCGGGACUACUACGGCAUCUUUCCAAGACUGCGGCACUUCACCGCUUCUCCAUGAUGUAUUGAAGGCAUGGAUCACACAGGAAACACAGCCGUCGCUAAGGUUUCGGAUGGCUCGAUAGGAGAUUCCGUCUCCACCUGGCGUCGAUUGUACUCGUGACAGGCACACCGCGGCUCUGAAUUCACCCAAUGUGAAGUCCAUAUCCAUCUGUUCGUUCACCAUUGGUUCUCUUCGUGAGAUCGCCUCCUGUAUCUCGGAAGUGGAAGCGCGGAAUACGUCAGUGUUUGAAGCUUGCGAAUCGUGUCGGAACAGCAUGUUGGUGUUCGAAUUCAUUGUUAUUCCUGUAUUCAUACGAGCGUCGUCUUCUGCAAUGUGAAGCUGGAUAGAUUUUCCAGCUCCUCUUAGAUGACACAGCAUUAAUAACGCUAGAAAUGUCAUUAAGAAACGUUCGAAUUGUGCGUUGCAUGGCAAACAUAUGUAUCGCUUUGAAUUAGCAUUCGGGACAUUCCCUCUUUAAGCCUAACUACGAUUUAUUUUCGCAUUGUUUAUUUGCGGCGUGGAUUUUUCACGGGGAUUUUUUAAGAGUGCAUUUUUGAAUGUUUCGGCGUAAACCCCUUCGCAGUUUCACAGACACAGAAUAAAUGUUCUAAGUGCAUCUGUUGACUUUGCACAGUAUGCAUGGGAUGUGUAGAAUGAUAGAGAAAAUAAUACUAUAAGUAAUUUACAGCCUUCAAAAAAACUUCAGGUUUCCACACAUUGCAGGUACUGCAAAUUUCUACUGCUGGAACAUGAUUUUACUACACACAUAAAAUUUUCAUCAGACAGUCAAACGUUACGGAUAGCAACAAAAGACGAAAAUCUGGAAUCAUUCGAAAUCGCAAAAUUCCACUAACAACCACUGGUCAGCAUUGUUUCCCAAAACUCAAGGUCUUCCCAUGCAAGACAGACAGGCAUAUACACUUAACCAGUUUUCGAACUCAACAUCCAUAGCUACCUGACCCAAAUACGCUGAGCGCUUGGAACAUUCUUCGACCAUUUACCUUUUUGUUCCCGCUUUUCCCCGUCCCACUAGUCUUUAUUCUCAAGCAGGGCUCUGGGCGAAAGCUUGUAUCAUAGGAAAUAAUAAAUAGAUGGUUCAUCCCUUCCUGUUUUUAACAUUUCGAAGCUAUACUCUGUUCCCAUUGAGUGUCAGUCAUAUGCGAGAUGCUGCACGAUACGAUACACGGUACCCGACACAUAAAAAUAGCGAGUUUAAGUACAUUGGAUGAACUCUACGAAGAUGACACGACAAAGGAAGUUAUCAAAUUCAAGCCUAGCAAUGUGAUUCCCCUUCGCUUCGAAGAAACUGGCCAAAAGGCUUAUCAUUAUUGGCAAGCGCGUUCGGAACCGCUAUCGUGACAUCACUUGCGAAUGACAUUCUGUUUCUUCGUGUAACUCGAUGUAAGACAAACGAAUGACAUUCGGCGCGAUUGUCAUUCGAUGGGAAUGCCGUUCGGUUUGUCGUGUGACAGGGGUAUUAGUUUCACGCACGCAACUGUGCAUUUUACAGUCAGAUAACAUUUAUUUACAGUAGUACAUACUGGUGCUGUCCCUUCCGGCCACUCGUACAAUUGUUCACCAUCAGAAACGCCAAAGGCGGAUAAUUACUCGCAACCUACACUGGACUACCGUAACCUAACCUAGCAAAAACUUACCUGGCCUAACCUAACCUAACUUGACGUUGAGAUAACAAAGGGUGCACGAUUCUGAGCAAAGUCACUGGUCACGAGUACGUUAACGUUUGUCCAUCUGAAGGAUAAACAGCGUGGGUGACGAACUUUAUGGCACAUAAAAUUAAUACGAAAUUAGCACGAAAAAUAAAAGUAAGAAAGAGAAAAAGUGCGCAUUUACGUAUCCAGGAAUUUGCAAUUCGCGUGUAGGAAUGCACUCGUGAAUUUCAUGUUACAUUUCUCCUUUCGCUUUUAUGUGCAACACUGUUUCAUAUGAUUCUGCUUUCGUUUAUUACUAUCCAUAUUACCUUUCCGUUAACGUAAAAUAUUAUUGUUGCAAUAGCACAGCCUUCUAUGUACUUGUACACAGCAUCUUAAUCUAAAAUCAAACUUAUAAAAUCAACCUGAAUUAUCCUCGGCUUUGAUAUAUUUCUCUUAUGGGCAAUCUCCCUACUCGUUACCGUGUGGCAUUUGUUGUUAUGAACUGAGGGUGGUGAUGAUAGAAUUGUUUGCUGUGGUCGGCUGCAAGAAAUACUGGCCUAUCUAUGACUGUUUUUUUUUUCUUUUUUUGAUACCCGAAAUGACAGCAACCCCAGAGGUGUCUAUGGAAUAAUGCAAGAAAUAAGUAAUGGGCAGUAAUUUUUUUAAUUACCGCACGUGUUGCCGUGAAUCACCUCAUCCCAUCGCCAUUCAUGUAGUUGUUGUCAAUUAAGGGGACAAUGGUAACAAAUGAAAAAAUGAAAUAAAGGAAGGUAAUUUGAAAAUGAACCCUAGUGGGGCUGAUUUUGAAUUUCCAGUAGCACUCCAUUCGUGUGUGUGCCUUUAUUUUUUUUUAUUUUUUUUCGCUGUCCGCGACAUUAUACUUCCAGCUUCAGAGCUAUACGCGUGUUGGUAUCAAUCGUAUCGAAAGAGAUUACGGGUACUAUUACUGUUGUGGUCAUGUGGUUUUAUUACCCUUUCCUCUGUUCUAUGCAUGUUGGAGAAAGAAGGGCGGACGUAUAAAAAGCAUGCUACACGGGGUUUUGAAUCUUGGCGUAUUAUUUAAUUCAUAUAAAUGUCAGAAGGGCCAACAAGCGUCGCGUUUUAAAGGUGAACAACGUGAUGGCCUCUAUUAACGUCAACCUUGCAACAUUGAAACAUUUUCUGAGAGGAUCAUAAUGGCAAAACCCCGAGACAGAGGGCGACGAAGGGCACACACGCGGCACACAACGUCACAAACACGACUCGAAGUCGGAUACGAGAUCUCCCUCUGCCCACACACAAUAACGGCUAUCUUAACUGUAGUGCCCUUUUAGAGUUCUUGAAUACCGACCCAGAAAAGUAAGAGAGGAGAAUGGGCCUCGCUUCUCAUGGGACUUCUUGUUAUCAAUGGGGUAUUCGUGCCAGAGUCUGCCAGAGCUGGCCUUCCACGAGCGAGCGCCAGUGCAGACUGUGCAGGUCAAGCAUACAACCAAGUUAUGCGGAUGUUUUGCAUGGUGAUCCUUCGCCUCCAAGGGCCAACGCAUGGAAACCGCAUCGAAAGUUUGUUGACUUUUUUAGACUGCAAUGCUUCCAACAUCUUGGUAAGAGAACUUGCCUUAUUUAUUUUUGGUUAAGGAGAGCUGAACGCCUCUAGGUUAAUAGUAUUGAUAGUUUGUGUAACAGUUGUGAUCUGACAAAAUGGCGUAGGUGCAGGCUUGCUGGUGGAUAAACUUUAUAAUGUAGAGGCCGGAGUCUGUGCACACAAAGGUAUGAUGUGCUCACGUGUUUGUGCAGUACUACACGAACCUGACAUAAGUUAUUUUGCCGUUCUCGUCGACCUUCUAUUUCUUUCGCCCCAAUUAUCGUUCAAUCGCCCCGCAUGUAAGAGUGUUUUAGAGUGUGUUGGAGUAAUUUCAAACAUAAACGCAGCAAGUGACUCAUACGGACAAAGGAACAGACGACAAGAUUGCGCCUUGCGAGAAGACAAGCGAACGCAAUCCUGUCGCCUGUACCUUCUUCCUUCGUGCGUAUGUCAUUUUUUGCGUUUACGUUUGUUAUUAUAUGACAUACCAGCCCGUUUUGCGUUUACUGUUUGCAUUUAGCGUAUAUGUGGAUGGAUUAGAAGAUGAUAUAUCGAUAUAUAUCGGAUUUCGUUGGCGGAAUAUUGGCAGCGACGUUCUGUGCGGGAAAAUGCAGAGCAAUUUGAAACCGCCAAAUUCCAAGUAAAAGAUAGAUAGUUGUGUUCGUUUUGAUAAAUAUGACUGUGUAUGCACGUAUUUUGAUGUAGUGUAUCAUAAGUAUUUCUUGUCGUUCUUUUUGCCGUUUAUCGAAACUGACAGCUUCUCAUCUUUUUGUGUAUAGCUGCUGAUUGAGUUCAGAAUAUUGUUCCGUCCAACGCGAACUCGUCGCACAAGCGCAGCAGGGAUUUGAAGAUCUUUUGAUGAUCGUACAGGAAAACGGCACGGAGGCUGAACUACUCCUCAUUGCAGAUAGCGACGGUGACCUGUGCGUCCUUGCUCUGAAAUUAAUUUCACGGAGAUAAAAUGAGUAGUCUUCGUCACUUAUCAUAGAGGAACAAGAGCUGCCUCUCUGCCCCAUAAUCAAGCUCAUCGAUAUAAACAUCAUUCAAAGGGCAAUUUUAAAGCUCGAAGAGACAAAGGCUCGGGAGAAGUGCAUUGCUUUUGUAAAUUUAUUUAUGUAGUACUGUAAAUAAACAUUUUUGCGUUUGGUUCACAAAACUUCGCAUUGUCUCUGAAGUUAUUUUAGGUACAGACACGACGCACUUUAUUCCUUGCGUGCUUUUGGUGCAAAGAAAGAUACUGUUCUGCACCCAGUGGUCUAGAUUUCUGUACCUCUGUAGUACCUUGCUGCUUAGAUUAGAUUAAAUUUAUACCUUCAAAUUACCUGAUAGAAACCUUCUAAACGGUAUUUAUUCUGCACCCAAAGGCGUGGAUUUCUAUACCGUUACUAUACCUUGUUCUAUUGACUAAAUAGAUACCUCGGGGUAUAUAAUUUGAACCUCUCAAUGUUACAUAUUUUACUCCCCAAGGGUUACUUUGUUAUACCUUUGCUAUACCCUGUUCCUGGGAUUCAGUUUAUACCUUGAGGUAUUUAAGUUAUGCCUUGUGAAUGGUAUUCAUUUUGCACCCACGGGUCUACAUUUUGAUACCUUUGCUAUACCCUGUUCCUGGGAUUAAAUUUAUACCCUGCAGUAUUGAAGUUAUACCCCAUGUAUGGUGUAUGCUUUGCACCCCAAGGUCUGAAUUUUCAUACCUUGCUGGAGGGAUAAAUUAUUAUACCUCACCUGGUGGUAUAAUUUUUGAUCCCUUUUGGGGGAUGCGCCACAGGACAAGCCAUUUAUACCUUUAAAGGUAUAAAUUUGGCUGACAGUGUAGGGCCAUGGGUGUACACGAGCGGGCGUCCUGUCGACGGUAUGAGGUUCGGGGAAUCGGCGUAGUCACAGGGGAGGCAUCGAAUGUAUUACUCCAUAGACGAAAGCGUGCCGGGCGAAUGCAAUGCAUCCUGGACAGGUCCUGGUCGCACGUCACAGCAAACGUCAACGCACACGUGACCUUAAAGAUGGUCGCGCCCGUGAUUGGCGGCCAAACCGUUUGUAAAUAACGCGUUUGUUGUUCCUACGCGACGUUUUGGACGUCUUUCGACUACGGUAAUUAUUUUCAUCCGAUAAUCUCGCAGUAAAACGUUCAGUUUUGUACAUAAGGCCUCGUACUGUUCACGACUUCCAAGGAUGUGAUGACGACCGCGCGUUAAGACAUACUGAGCCGGUGCGAUAUACUUAAACCAAGGAGGAAUGGGCUACCAUGUCGUGGAAGAAGCACCGCAUAGUUUACGCUUGCAAAAUACGUUCAUCUCUUGGCUUUAUGCCGACGGGAAUACGUAUACCGGCAAAAGGUAACACGACAUGUUAACAAUGUCACAUGACCACAAAUAGACGUUUUCUAUGACAUCUGACCAGGACAAGGUGGCGGUUUUGCAAGAAGCACCAGCUUGAGGGUAGUUACAAAAAUGGUGGAUUUAUGUCACCCCUGUGGGCGUAGUAGGAUGGACUAGACCUAAGAGCCAGGCAGAAUUUUUUCGGCGGCGGCAGCGGCGACCGCUGUCACAUGGCGUGGCAGUGUUUGGCGGCGCCCGGAUGAGCAAGAUGAGCAAUAUACGCCAUAUUGAAGGGGGGGGGGGCAAGUUGAAAUUCUUUUUUUAGAAAACUGGCCGUCCUAAUUUGGAACGUACUUGGGGGUGUAGGUACUAGCUGCACUGUUGGUCCCUCUGGAAACUGUGGAGUAAAAAUGACGCGAAUAUUUCAUGACAAUAUGGCCAAAAACGUUUCAUAUGCAACAGGAGGCAGAUUGUUUCAAUUCGCGUUUUUCGCAAAACCGACGCUGCACAGCGGUGAAAUUUGGGACUAGCCAAACCAGGUACACCCGGCCGACACCGCGUACAUUUGCGGAGAAGUUGUUGCUUUUCGCAGGAAUCGCUCAGCUGCACCCGUAUUUUGCUGUUGAAAUCAUGGAUGAAGUAAACAUUGCAGACAACGACCAGCGAACUAAACCAAACUAGUUUUGUUCUGUGUCACAAUGCGACUCUGCGCGCUGAGGGGAUAGCAGUUUGUCCUUCCGCGUUUUCUUCGUUCCACACAUAGAAUACCGCCUACUUCGACGCAUCCUCAGAAGGAAUGGAUUGAGCGACUCAAAAUCAGCAAACCUGUUACAUCAGCAAUGCUUGUGUGUGUCUGGCAGAGCUCUUGGAGCGGUACUGCCUACAUAUCUGAUGAACGUUCUUUCUCUUUUUUUUUCUUUUCUGAAGCACACUUCUGUGCAGCUCACGUCAGGAAGGGAAGCAAAAACGUGUCUAGACAAAACAGAACCAGUUUGUUUCAAACUUGAAUAGCCAUCAUGUGUAAGAAAGCGCAAGAGAUAGCAUGAAAACGUAUACCAAGUCAGUUUUGUAACUCUGCAUUUGAAUCAGCUCGUCAAAUCACUUGGGAAAGAAUGCAGAAAGAAUGCGACUUUUCGUUAAGGUUUCCCAAAAACAUGCGCACCAGUGACACACGGAUGUCGCAACAUUACCGUGUUACUUGUAAACUACAUUCGUACACGCGCUACACACUUAGAAGAUGUUAGCUGUAAGAGAACUGCAGCACAGAUGUCGUGUGCUUGCAUGUCUGUCACAUUCCUGCAGCGCAGGACACUCGCUGCUUGCUAUUUCGACCUCGCAACCGGUAGACGUGAAAUUCACCUUCACGAAAUGUGGUUGAUCAAACACGCCGGAACUUCACAAAUAAUACGCGACAACUAUAGCCUUCUCUUUGGACAACCCGGUUACGCCUGCCAGAAGUAUAUGAGCAGCGUUUAAUGCUCGUUCGCCUUCAACGCAUCGAGAAUUAACAUUGCAGUUCAGAAAUCUCAAAAUCGAAACUAAGCAACAACCAGGAUACGUCCGCCAUGUUGGAGUUGAGAUGCGCCACCUACAGGCUACAGGUCGUGAAAAACGCGAAUAUGCCCCAACCUUGGGGGACGUAGCAACAGGCUACGGGUGUGUUCAUGGGUUCACAUGCGUUCACAUUUUUAUAUGGUCGGCGGAGGUGAAAGACAGGUACGAGGCUGCGUCUUGGACGUCAACAUCCAACACGAAAACCGACGUUUCCAAGCAUAGAGUUAAUAUAGGAAAACUCUAGAGAACGGACUUGGCGCUCCGUCAAUGGGAUUUUCCUAUCCCCGCGUGACCGCCCGGGCGCAGCCAACCGUUGGUCAUGGACAGUGCUAGUGGACGAAUUUUGGACCCCCAAUAACAGCGGAGCUACUCCGUUUGUUGCCAACUGCCAACCCUGUGCAGUCACGGGGGAUAACAAAUGGGGAAACGGGCCGAUGGAGGGAACCGAGGGAACGACGCCCAGCGAAGGAAGCGAGGCAAGCUGUGUAAUUGCGUUGAGUACGUUCGAACCCUUUGGAUGCGUGCAGAAUUGAUUGGUAUCACACGGUAAACGUUGUCAUAUCAAACGUGAAUCUAUUUUAUCUGCGAGAUUGCCUGCGACACCGCCAACCCUUUGCUUUCCACCGACACGGAUGAACAUGUUUACCGCCUAUGACGUGUUGAAGUGGCGUUUGUAUGCUUUGCGAGCGAAAUCAGUAAAUCGUGUCCCAUCGUAACGAAUGUUGACAUGUAUUGCCGAAGGCAACAUAAUCCAAAGAUGAAUACACACAGUUAACCGUCAUCUUCAUGCUGCUCUGCAAAGCAACGGGAACCGGAAAUGGCAAAAACGAAACCACCCACCAUUCUAGCCAUUCCAUACUGUGGUCUGUCAAGUUUCGUGGUGCAGGCGACGAACGAACGACAGCACACAAGCAAGUGGUGUGGUGGCGGUGGUGGUGUGGGGAUGUAUUUAUUAGACGAAAAGGAAAAAAUAACGGGGGAAACGUCAGCCAAACGGGACGUCGGCUUGCUAUUCCGGAAAGAAAGAAAUAAGAAAGAAAUAAAAAGAAAAGAAUUAAAGGAAAGAAAUAAGAAGGAACAAUAAAUAAAUAAAAUUAAGAAAUAAAGAAUUAGGAAAUAAAGGAUAAACUAACAAAGGAUGAAAGAAGGAUGAGGUAGAGUGGGAAAAUAUUCACUACUUAUUGUUUGAAGGGUCUCUGACCAGAACCUGGUAAAUGUCUUUCUUUUUAUGGAUCACGAAACUACAUGGUGUCUCCAAGUUACACUUGAAACGUUUCGUCUCUGCGGACGUCGCAUGGACGUCGAAGGAGGAAGCACAGCAGAGUCAACAAGUCAGCUUUUCAGCUACCUUUCAGCAAUUGAGAGGGAAGUUCUGCUACGUGCAGCAGAGUUUGGAAGCCUUGCUUUUGAAAUGUUGAGCCGCGGAUCGACUUCAGCAUGAAGAGAAGUUCCAACAACAGACUGCUAGAUGAGCUUUCAGCAUUCAUCAUGAUGAAGCACAUGAACAGUUUGUGUAAAUUUCGUGUUUCACGGCGCCGUCUUUUUAAGGUGCCGGAGUGGUUCCUGCAUAAUAAUGCCGAAAGAAGUCGAGUGCUAAUGCUGCAAGGAGCUGCCCUUAAAAUAGCAUAUUUAGAACUUCGAGGGCAGCACGAACCUAUGAGCGCUCACAUUCGCAAGUAAGAAGCGUGCCUCAUGCUGGUGGGUUUCAAUACAAAAUUGUUAUUCUGAACUUUUCGUCAUUGUUCGUCACUUAUUCAGGAAGAGUGCAGCUGAAAUACUACUCGCUGUCCUACUAGCUUUAGCUUUGUUCAAAGCUUGCGUGUCUCAUACAGGAAAUACAGAUACACUACAUACCAACAGCUUGUGCGAUGGGUGUUGCACAAACUUGAAAACAAACAAAGAAACAAACAAGAGAAUGGUUAUAUCAGCCUGUGCGGUGAACAGGAUACGCAAAGCCUUUCCCAUAGUAACUACUACAUGCUUUAAAUACCCAAGAUAUUAGGUGGAGGUACGUCUUACCAUAAUUUCCCUCAUUUCGUUCAUAUUGACGAAAAAGUGCACUUGGUAUAUAGACAGCCUGUGUUUAUAAGUAACUUAGUCCAGCACAGUUCAUGGUCAUUCAUGCCAUACUAUACGAAUAUUCAGACUGUAACAGCAUUUGAAAAAUCUUUCAGACACUUCCCUUAUGAAAAAAAAAUUCUAUUUUCUACAGAAUUUCUAUAGGAAACCCUAGAUA